GACGAACGCUGGCGGCGUGCUUAACACAUGCAAGUCGAACGGAAAGGCCCUGCUUUUGUGGGGUGCUCGAGUGGCGAACGGGUGAGUAACACGUGAGUAACCUGCCCUUGACUUUGGGAUAACUACAGCAAACUGGGGCUAAUGACGGAUAGGAGCUCCUGCUGCAUGGUGGGGGUUGGAAAGUUUCGGCGGUUGGGGAUGGACUCGGGGCUUAUCAGCUUGCUGGUGGGGUAGUGGCUUACCAAGGCUUUGCCGGGUAGCCGGCCUGGGAGGGUGACCGGCUACAUUGGGACUGGGAUGCGGCCCAGACUCCUACGGGAGGCAGCGGUGGGGAAUAUUGCACAAUGGGCGGAAGCCUAAUGCAGCAACGCCGCGUGCGGGAUGACGGCCUUCGGGUUGUAAACCGCUUUCGCCUGUGACGAAGCGUGAGUGACGGUAAUGGGUAAAGAAGCACCGGCUAACUACGUG
Molecule: ribosomal RNA, 468 nt
Filed under: uncultured bacterium
Lineage: Bacteria
Description: partial 16S ribosomal RNA
Rfam family: Bacterial small subunit ribosomal RNA
Source: RNAcentral